This 299-nucleotide long non-coding RNA is filed under the name Mus spicilegus (steppe mouse). RNAcentral's name for it is "lncRNA (ENSMSIG00000001297.1)". Lineage: Eukaryota; Metazoa; Chordata; Mammalia; Rodentia; Muridae. The record is from RNAcentral.
GUUUAGCUAACCAAUAAUGAGAAACCCAGCUGAAAGACGGUAAGGUUCAUGGACUCAAGAAAAGCCUUCAAGGACUAGCGAGAAGCCAAAAGGCAAAAUGAGGGCUGGCAGAGAGCUGGAAGCAGAGGUCACCAGCGUGAGUGGGGAAGAAGCGGCAAAGGAGGAAAGCAAUGGAGGAGAGAUAGCACAUGAAAAUGUCACAUAGAGAAAACAGAUGGAUUCAGCUAGGAGAAGGAGAGUGGACAAAACAGUUUAGUGCCUAGAAACGUCCAGAACGAAUAAAGUACAAAGCUCCACCA